GGCCUAAGCAGAAAAGUAUGCUCAGGUAGAAGAAGCUUUUGAGGAAGAAGAAACCCCAGUAGAUACUACUAUCCAGAAGAAGAAAGAAGAAGAAACCAGAGAACCCUCACCAAGGCGGGACCAUGGAAGAAGUUAGUAAUCCUCCCAGUCUCCAUGCAGAUGUCGAAGGUCUAGAACCCCUCCUCAAAAUCAUUGAACAAGAAGCCCCUUUGGGAGGAGGCGGCAUACAUCUC
Molecule: long non-coding RNA, 233 nt
Filed under: Elaeis guineensis (African oil palm)
Lineage: Eukaryota; Viridiplantae; Streptophyta; Magnoliopsida; Arecales; Arecaceae
Description: long non-coding RNA (EGUI_LNC057633)
Source: RNAcentral